This 402-nucleotide ribosomal RNA is filed under the name Triticum aestivum (bread wheat). RNAcentral describes it as "partial small subunit ribosomal RNA". Lineage: Eukaryota; Viridiplantae; Streptophyta; Magnoliopsida; Poales; Poaceae. The record is from RNAcentral.
AUGCCCAAACGUGGCGUCGAGGCCUUCCACAUCCGCACCCAAGCCGCGUCACUACCAAGCUGCUACAAGCAUACAGGGCCUUCCGUGUUCAAGCUGAAAAGGCAAGAAGAUCUCAUUAUUAACAUGGAUAAAAAAGGUGGAACGUCUUCUUCAGUAGAAUUACACAAUGGUUGGCUGAAGCUUUGGAUUGCUAAAGUACCAAGAAAGGUAAAAAUCCAUCUUUGGUGUAUUUAUUUUCAGAGAAUUUAUGUUGGAGAUGAGCUUAAGAGAAGAAAGUAUAUAGAUAUGGUAAUGAACUACAGAAAGCGGAUUGUUGAGUUUACCAAGCAUAAUGGCACACCUAAUUUUGGCAAAUCACCUGAAGAGUAUUUCAAGCAAAGAUGCGUUGAGAUUUUCACAUGA